This is a long non-coding RNA of Xenopus laevis (African clawed frog), 1139 nucleotides long. RefSeq lists it as uncharacterized. The record is from RefSeq and is a predicted model, not a curated record. Lineage: Eukaryota; Metazoa; Chordata; Amphibia; Anura; Pipidae. The transcript has 4 exons.
UGCGGCCCGCGACUCAUUUUUAAUUGGCCCGCAGGCAGCAGCAUUUCACACCACCCCCCUCCCCAGUGGGUGCAGUGGAAGUGGCCAGCGGUGAACAGGAAGUCAGUGCCAGAGAGGGAGCCGGAAGAGGAGCAGAACGUCGCAGCAGCAUGUCACACGCGCACCUGCUGCACUUGAGAAAACUGCUGCCGACUGGGAUUCCACCUCUCCUUACAUGCCACAGCACAGGCACACCAACCCGCCUCCCCAUUCCCACUGCAGCAGCCAGCAGCCUCCCAGAUGCUCCAAUUAUGUUUUGAAGCUGAACAAUGUCAGAAGAAGGACCGGUAAUCAAGGAUGUGCCUGUGUCAACAAUAGCCUGACAUCCACCACUGCAGAAUAACACCUCACCAUUUAUUUGGACACUACAGGAAAAUGGAGACAAUCAUAUUAUUAAGAUCUUCUGAUAUAUCAGUUCCUUGAUAUAUUUAUAUGGUGUGCAGUCCCCUACUGCAAUAGAAGGAUAUCCCAGGCCAAGUAUGCCAUCAAAUUCAGCAUCAACAAAAGUACUGCCAGGCUCCGAGACACUCUCUCCAAACUGCUGGUUCUGCACCAAGAUACCUUCCACCUGAUGAGAGUAAAUGAGUUAGAAGAGCCCAAUCCAUAUACACAGAUGGAACCCACAAGUUUGAAGAACCAGUGUCAAAAAUCACAGUAAAGUUCUGAGGAGGUGUUCCAACAGAGAUCUCUCCAAAGUAUUCCACCUACAAAGAGAGGAAUAAUUAAACAAAUUAAUGUUACACAUAAUGGAGUACAGAGAUGUGUGUAUGUGUAUUGUUUUUCAAGUGUAUCUGUGUUGUUGUUUUUUCUGCAGGUGAAAAAUACACAUGCAUUAUCUUCAAAUACAUAAGGACAGGUAUGGGAACACUUACGCACAAAACAUGUCACAUGUUAAUUUCCCCAGGACAUUAUAUUAUCUAUGAAAUUGCUUUUUAAAAGGGUUGAUGAACUGCUUUUCUGGAACUACUGUUAUGUAAAAUAUAAUGUAUACUGUUUCUCAUUGUUUUCUCAUCAUCUUCUCUAUGUUUGCCAUUCUUAUAGCGUAUGUGACAUCAAUGUGGUUUGCAUCCCACAAUAUACACAGUUGUUCGUACAAUUCA